Molecule: unclassified non-coding RNA, 330 nt
Filed under: soil metagenome
Description: partial contains 5.8S ribosomal RNA, internal transcribed spacer 2, and large subunit ribosomal RNA
Rfam family: 5.8S ribosomal RNA (bases 1-121)
Source: RNAcentral
GAUGAAGAACGCAGCGAAAUGCGAUAAGUAAUGCGAAUUGCAGAAUUUCCGUGAGUUAUCGAAUCUUUGAACGCACAUUGCGCCCACUGGUAUUCCGAGGGGCAUGCCUGUUCGAGCGUCAUUAUAACCCCUCAAGCUCAGCUUGGUGUUGGGGCCUGCUGCACUGGCAGCCCUUAAAAUCAGUGGCGGCGCCAUCUGGCUCUAAGCGUAGUAAUUCUUCUCGCUAUGGAGUCCUGGUGGAUGCUUGCCAUCAACCCCCAAUUUUUCUAUGGUUGACCUCGGAUCAGGUAGGGAUACCCGCUGAACUUAAGCAUAUCAAUAAGCGGAGGA